Molecule: ribosomal RNA, 523 nt
Filed under: Escherichia coli
Lineage: Bacteria; Pseudomonadati; Pseudomonadota; Gammaproteobacteria; Enterobacterales; Enterobacteriaceae
Description: partial 23S ribosomal RNA
Rfam family: Bacterial large subunit ribosomal RNA
Source: RNAcentral
CCGGGUUGCGGACAGUGUCUGGUGGGUAGUUUGACUGGGGCGGUCUCCUCCUAAAGAGUAACGGAGGAGCACGAAGGUUGGCUAAUCCUGGUCGGACAUCAGGAGGUUAGUGCAAUGGCAUAAGCCAGCUUGACUGCGAGCGUGACGGCGCGAGCAGGUGCGAAAGCAGGUCAUAGUGAUCCGGUGGUUCUGAAUGGAAGGGCCAUCGCUCAACGGAUAAAAGGUACUCCGGGGAUAACAGGCUGAUACCGCCCAAGAGUUCAUAUCGACGGCGGUGUUUGGCACCUCGAUGUCGGCUCAUCACAUCCUGGGGCUGAAGUAGGUCCCAAGGGUAUGGCUGUUCGCCAUUUAAAGUGGUACGCGAGCUGGGUUUAGAACGUCGUGAGACAGUUCGGUCCCUAUCUGCCGUGGGCGCUGGAGAACUGAGGGGGGCUGCUCCUAGUACGAGAGGACCGGAGUGGACGCAUCACUGGUGUUCGGGUUGUCAUGCCAAUGGCACUGCCCGGUAGCUAAAUGCGGAAGA